Molecule: long non-coding RNA, 1310 nt
Filed under: Homo sapiens (human)
Lineage: Eukaryota; Metazoa; Chordata; Mammalia; Primates; Hominidae
Description: HSALNT0152422
Source: RNAcentral
AGAACAUGCAGUCUAGGAACCGGCAUGCGCAUAACCUCAGGAUAUAAAUAAUGCUGAAGCAGAGUUACGUUUUUUUUGUUGUUGUUUUUUUUGUUUUUGUUUUUUUAGGUUUCCGUGUGUUUCUAUUGAGCUGCUCAGUGCCCGGCUUAGAAGACCAGGAAAAGGAGUCACAGGUCGUAUGCUGGAGGCUUGAGCCGCGGCACCGUGGCGCGGCUCGCCUCGCUGCGGUUGGUGGUGGCGGUGGACAUUGCAGCGCGGCUGGAGGGGUAGGAAGAAGAAGAUAGUUUUGGGAUAGAUAGAGGGUCCUUAGACAAGGUGCAAGACAAACAGAAGAGGGCAUGUGGGGUCAAACUCGCUAGCUGCCUGCCUGAUUUUUCUGCACACAGGUGAGAUAUUCCUGCACAUCCUCUGGUGACCCCAGAAUGAGGGGGACUCGCUGGUGAAUUGCCUCGGGCUUCACGUCCAGUACAGGCUGGGUCCCCGUGGUCGCCAAGCCUCCUGCCUGCUCAAUGAUGUAGGCCACGGGAUUGCAUUCAUACAGGAGCCGGAGCUGUGGAGGAACAGAGGCAGGACAAAUUCACCAAGAGCCUAGCAACAUGAAGAGAGAUGCCAGGAAGAAGAGAGAAGCCAGGAAACAAGCCAACCGCACAAUCCCCACAUCAGAGCAGGAGAAGAUGGGGGCCUGCUGGCAGAGCUGGGGCUUGGCUGUGGUCACUCUGAACCUGCUCUUUGGUGUUUUCAUGAGUGGUGGGAAGAAUAGGGACCAUAUGGAGCCCACACAGGAAGCUCUAGCAGUAACACAGCAAGCAGGAAGACAAUUCUAAGGAAGCAGCCCAUAGUCUUCUUUCUUUUCCUGUGCAUCUUCCACUGUCAGUGAGGCUCCUCAUUUAUGGUGAACCCAACUGUGUGUAUCUCCCAAGUUCUCACCCGCAGAUUAAUGUUUUCAGGAAGAUAGGCCAUCAACAGUGAGAGGAAGAAGUUACAUUGUCGUAUGAGGGAUGCAUUUUAACCAUUAAUUUGUGGUACAGGCUGGGCGCAGUGGCUUAUGCAUGUAAUCCCAGCACUUUGGGAGGCCGAGGUGGGUGGAUCACGAGGUCAGGAGAUCGAGACCAUCCUGGCUAACAUGGUGAAACCCCGUCUUUACUAAAUAUACAAAAAAUUGGCCGGGCGUGGUGGUGGGCACCUGUAGUCCCAGCUACUCGGGGGGCUGAGGCAGGAGAAUGGUGUGAACCCGGGAGGCAGAGCUUGCAGUGAGCCGAGAUCGCGCCACUGCACUCCAGCCUGGAUGACAGAGCAAGACUCCAUCUCAA